AAAUAAGAUUUACUGUGAGAAGUCAGCUGACGUCGUAGUACCCAGAGCUAACGAGGUGCAUAAACUGCACAGGUCUCACAACUGGGGAAGGAC
Molecule: non-coding RNA, 93 nt
Filed under: Salegentibacter sp. 24
Lineage: Bacteria; Pseudomonadati; Bacteroidota; Flavobacteriia; Flavobacteriales; Flavobacteriaceae
Source: RNAcentral